GAUGGACAUCAAGCAACGUGUGAGGCGUCUAGUGAAAACCCUAACCACCAAUCCCUUGUCUCCUCGAGCCCCGAGCUGCCUCCACAUCCUGUUUGCCUCUCCCCUCUCUCCAGUACUUUCGUGCACCUCCUCCUCCACUUCUAUCCUUCCUCCUCUACCAGCGUUGGCCGCCACAUCCUUCCCUCAAGCUGCACUGCCAUCCAUCUCUCAACAUGUUCCUCAAUCUACCGCCGCCGAUAGUUGUGCUUCUGGAUCGCAUAAAGAUUGCUUCUAUAGGAGAGCAGGGUUGACGUGGUCUUUUUGGUGGGCAUGUAGUAGGGAAGGUUGAGCGGGGUGGAUAUGAGGCAAGGAGCAACAAGGUCUUAUCUUAUUCCUCAAUUUCUACUCCUUGAUUUAUGUUUUUUCUGAACACAUGUAUGCAGGUCUGAGAGAAAAAGGAGAAGCGGAAUGAAUCUUGAUGAAGUGCUAUUUUUACACCCUAAUUUAUUAUAUUUUGUACAACAAGUUUUUCUUUUAAUGACAUUUUGUUACCUGGUUUACUGUUCUACUAUUGACAUACUCACUGAAUUUUACGGACACUAAGUGAUCUAUUUAAGUCCAAUUUGUUCCUUUUUAUUGCUACUAUUUCUCAUGGGAUAUUCAGGUGCUGAGAAGACAUAUUUUUGAGAUGUUCCUAAUGGCGACGGUGGUAAUCAACAAUGAGAAAAAAGGAACAGAGAUUGGAUUUGUACUACGUUCAAGGAUAUAAACCUAUAUGAUAUAUUAUUGAUGGGGAUCGAGUAUUAUAGUGAUAUAUCUAUGAAUUUUAAUGAUCUAUCUGCUACCAAGUACUCUACUCACCAGAAUUUGUUUUGGAUGCUUCAGCUCAGUUAACUGGAUGUUAAUUUGUUCACAUAACUCAUGUUGUAGCUACAAAUUUCUUUGUACUUUACACGCAAAUUAUUUAUCUUAUUCUGAAAUCUUAUUCCUUAGUGAUAGGCUGUAGGUUGAGUUCAGAUUGUGUUUUCCUAGAAAAGAAUCAGGUAAUGCUAUGGCCUAAGCAACGUAUGGUAUAAAUUUUAUAAAGAAGGUUGUGUAAUAUUUUUCUAAGGUUCUUUCAAAUAUCUGGAAUUUGCAUGCAUAUGUUUCUUGUGUGUGCCCACAUUUUUUAUGCAUCUACAGCGGGCUUACGCCUGCGUGAACUUUAUUUAGAUCGUUGAGGAUGUUACAUAGUGCAUGGCAUCGGGAAUACAUGGGGUUGAAGGGAAAGAGAAAAAUGAAAAAUACGUAUUGUUGUGGGCUACAUCCUCGCAGCUAGGUGGAACAACAUGGAGCCCCACUCGCGAAACAUAUUGUUGUGCACACAUUGUUAGUUUUGUACUCCUUCUUUGAUAUGAAUAACUAGCACAUGAAUUUUUCAUGGUGGGAAGCAUGAGUGACAUUUACUAUUUAGAAUGCCCAGAUGCCAGUUUGGCUUCUUUAUUUUUAGUUUUGAGAGGUGCCUGCAUUUAUUUUUAGGAUGCAGUCAUGCUAAAAUAUUAUUGUUGUGUUUCAUCUAAUUUCACUUUUUGAUAGGGACACAUAUCAUGUGGUCUAAUAUUUAUACGAAUGGUUGGGAAAUCGCAAGUAGAUGGUUACUUAUGCCUUGUAGCUCCUGUAGGAGUGAUAUACUUAUUAAGAUGAAUGGUUAUUCUAUAAUGAAAGGCAUAUGUAGCCACC
This is a long non-coding RNA of Hordeum vulgare subsp. vulgare (domesticated barley), 1698 nucleotides long. RefSeq lists it as uncharacterized. The transcript has 2 exons. Lineage: Eukaryota; Viridiplantae; Streptophyta; Magnoliopsida; Poales; Poaceae. The record is from RefSeq and is a predicted model, not a curated record.